CCCGCAUGGCAACGAUCUGUUCCUUGAUAGACCUCAAAAUGUCGGAAUUCAUGGUAGCUACAGGAGUUUUAGGUUGACUGAGAUAGUACUCCAUAUCACUACAGGUUGGCAUGCAAUGAUGACACUGGGUGAUAAUAUGAAAUGCAGUGUCACUAAUGAAACCCUAAUAACUAUAAUGUAGGACCAAAUUUGAUGCAGGACAACCUACUAAUGCAAUCUAUUAUGAUUUCAGAAAUCAGCAAGUCUUCACAAUAAUAACUUAAAAUUUAAAUGUUGCUGAUUUUUACUUCGGUUAUUCAGAAUUAAGGAUUAAGAUUAUUCAAUUUAAGAAGUUAGAUUGCAAUCAAGUAGUACAGU
Molecule: long non-coding RNA, 357 nt
Filed under: Phoenix dactylifera (date palm)
Lineage: Eukaryota; Viridiplantae; Streptophyta; Magnoliopsida; Arecales; Arecaceae
Description: long non-coding RNA (PDAC_LNC003106)
Source: RNAcentral